CAGUAGCCACGGUAAUACGAGGGUGCAAGCGUUACUCGGAAUCACUGGGCGUAAAGGACGCGUAGGCGGAUUAUCAAGUCUCUUGUGAAAUCUAACGGCUUAACCGUUAAACUGCUUGGGAAACUGAUAAUCUAGAGUAAGGGAGAGGCAGAUGGAAUUCUUGGUGUAGGGGUAAAAUCCGUAGAUAUCAAGAAGAAUACCUAUUGCGAAGGCGAUCUGCUGGAACUUAACUGACGCUAAUGCGUGAAAGCGUGGGGAGCAAACAGGAUUAGAUACCCCCGUAGUCCCUGUCUCUUAUACA
This 301-nucleotide ribosomal RNA is filed under the name uncultured bacterium. Its description in RNAcentral is "partial 16S ribosomal RNA". It matches the Rfam family "Bacterial small subunit ribosomal RNA", at positions 509 to 808 of the family's 1533-position model. The record is from RNAcentral.